UUUUUUUGUCUCUUUCUUUCGCGCGUGCUCUCUCCCUCUCUCUCUUGAGCAUGGAGCGAAAGUUGCAUGGAGACACACAGCGUAAGACGCGUGUAGUGGAGAGAAUGGUGGGAGAGCAAGAGAUAAAAGAGAAGGAAACGGCAACAAACUCAUACCAAGCGAGAUCAAAACAGAUUUUCCACCGAGUUGUUUUAGGCAAAGGAAAAAGGGCAUCUUGGCAAUAUUGUAACCAAAAAACACUGCAUCGAUGCAACAGAGCCGACUCGGAGACCUUGCACGGAGUUGGAGAGGCAGAAAUUAAUGUACAUUGCAUGCACUCCACGUAACGCUCCGGAGUGAUGCCUUUGUGAGUGUUUUUUUUUCGUACUGCGAGCUAAAAAUAGCAGCAGUGUUUGAUCGCGCUCCAGAAAUAGGCAGUGGGGUAACACAAGUAUAAAAAGGACUGCAAUUCUGAGAAACCUUGGACAUUGCUGAGCAAGGGCUCGCUGCAUAGCUUCAUGGAAAUUAAAACGCCAUCUCUCUCUCGAGCAGGAAUCUCACGUAUCGUAAAUAUGACAACCACAAAAGCAAGACCAAACUCAUUUGUCUGACGGCGCUGUUGAGCCAUUUUACGUUUUCUGUCUUCGCUACAACUGAAAGUCCCCGAAUGGAAAUCCCUACCAUCAGAUGAACACCGGCUGAUGUUGGUUUAAUAAAUAAAGAGGACACUAGAUGAAAGCAUGCAUGGGAAAGGAGUGCCUUGGGGUGCUAAAGGAGCUGUGCACCGGAGCAGACAAGAGGGAAACACACAGGCUGCACAGUUGUGCUGAAAACACAAUGUGGCGUCAAGGGGAGCCUGGGCUACUGCUUGACCUGCGUCAAAAUAACUCUCAAAUAGGCAUAGCUUUUUUCUAUACCGCCCGCAGAUGGACGCAGCAGCGCAAGUAGUCUACUUCUCAGAGCCAUUCGAAAUGCAUCCUUAAGUUUCGUACUCAUAACUCCGCAUGACAGUUUUCCCGCCUGCUUUGUUCGUACAAUUCAGUGUGCAGUUAGAAGCUAAAGAUAAUAUGGCAAUAGGCGGGCUGACUUGGAUUACUCUUCCGCCCACGUCAUUUCAUUAUACAGCGCUGCAACACACUGGGUUUUUUUGUUGCUAUGAACUGAAAUACUGUUCACCUGCUGGCAAAUAUGCAUUCACUUUGUAUUUAUCAGUGUUAUCUACAGAGCAUAACAAGCAAUCACAAAAUUUCGUUUGCCUGUACUCUUGACAGAUUAAUAACUCCAAACCUGCAGCACACAGAUGUCUCCGAAAUUUGGCAGAAAUCUGUCGAAGUGCAUGCUGUAGAGUAAGAAUACUUGCGCGUAAGAAACAACAGUUGGUAGGCGCAGCUAUCACGGUACGUCGUGCCAAAGAGCACUGUUACACUGUAACGAUGUAUCUCGUAAGAGUCGGCGUGAAUGUCAUUUUUAUACGAGUGUUUUCUAUCCGAAUAUCCGUUGUUCUAUUAAUCUUUAUCCAAUACCUACAAAGAUACAUCAUCCACAUAAAACAGACACUGAAAUUUGCAAAAUAGUGCUACCAGGCAUGUAAAAUAGUAUUCAGCAAGCUUACAUGGGAAACGAAAAAACGUUGUUGAUAACCUUGACCUUAAGACUAAGCUUUUCUUUAUUAAGUAGUCAAGACAUGCAAAGAUCUUCUUAAAUAAUGCAAUGUGGAUGUGUAAUUUUGGUGGCAAAACAGAUUUCUUGGAGUCGUGACUGCUUUAGUGAGUAAUAUGGGCGCGUUGGCUGCGUCAGGAGAUGCAGUCGCUGUGCGCUGCAGACGGAAGGAGGAGAAUCGUGACUGAAUGCUGAAGACGUCCGGAAACGAAACGACAACCCAAUAAAAUCCUCUUAAUGGCAUCUGGGCAAGAUAUUUACACAUGUUAUCUCUAUAGCCUUUUACUCUUUGCGUCGAGCCACCUCAACCCUCAACCUCCCUUUGCACCACCGAAGACAUGAGAAGAAUAUCUGUGAUUAAGGGGUGGGAGGGAGGAUCUUGGUUUGGGAUGAAUUCCGACUGGUGUGUGUGUGGAGAGAGAGAGAGAGAGAAAGAGAGAGAGAGAGAGAGAGAGAGAGAGAGAGAGAGAGAGAGAGAGAGAGAGAGUAUACCAUGCGGGGAGGGGGGUCCAGAUAUAGAUCGUGACCCUCCCACCUAGUACAGUUUCUUGCAUUUAGUUCCAAAAAGGGAUUGCCAGAGACUUUGUGGUGCAUUUUGACAAAUGAUUACUAUGUGGAUAUAAGAACAGGAAAUUCUCUGGUCUUAGUUGUUGUCAUCAUAUAAGUUGUAUUUUGGAAGGGUACAGAGAAGUUCUACACUAAGGUCCUCACGCUGGCUUAUUCAAGUCGUCUCUUCUCUGUGCUUUCAAGUGUUUUAGUGUGACAAAGGAAGAGAAGAAGCUAAAACACUUAUAGUAUACAGUAGCUAUACUAUAGCGUAUGAGUCGUAGAAAUCACGACGAACACAGUGAAAUGAAAAGUCAUAAUCCGUGAUCAGAUGAAGCGCAGAACUUUGUCACUGCUUUCUAUAUCUUUGUUGAAGAUAAGGAUUUCAUACUCGAUGACGUAUACAACCUUUAUAUAUGUAAUGUACAGUAGUCAGCAGACAUGUACGUUCUAAUGUACGUUCAGCAGUCAUGUACUCAGUAAUGGUUCACAAAAACUUUAAGAAGUUUCAACAGACGUCUCAGCCUCUCCAUCGUGCUUCCUCAUUCACACUGUUCACCUCGGCCUCUAUGGUGAAACCUGGUCUGUAGAUCCACAGAGCCAUCCGAGGUACCAUCUCCAACAUGUGGCUUCCAUCAUCUGUAAAUGAGAGCAAGACAGAUGAAGGGAAGAUAUGGACACGUGCUGAGCUCCAGAAUGAAGUGGAGUGGAAUCAGUCAACACAGGAAGCAAUUUAAGAAAAUCCAUAAGAAGUUGGAUCUGCCUUGUGCAGUCUGUUUAUCUCAGUUCCAUAUGUCAAGAGGCCAUUUCUUCAGCUUAAUCAAAGAACAACAUGACAUCUGAGUUUUAACAGAUAUUUACACUUCUGUUCCUAAAAGCUCUGGCCAUGCUGAACAAAAUCCAGUGGUUGUGUUUUUGCAGAAACCUAAAAUGAGGAUAUAUGCAGAUGACCGUCUUGAACACGUGCAAAUGGAUAUGGAUAACUGUCUUGAACACGUGCAAAUGGAUAUGGAUAACUGUCUUGAACACGUGCAUAUGGAUAUGGAUAACUGUCUUGAACACGUGCAUAUGGAUAUGGAUAACUGUUUUGAACACGUGCAUAUGGAUAUGGAUAACUGCGCUGAAAUUCACAUAGGAUUAUUCUAUACACGUCGAAUGAAGCUGGUUAAUUAAGGACAACUUUGACCCCCUUAAGGUAUUUGCGUCUCUGUCUCUAUAGGACUUGCUUUAGGAGCAGUUUGUAGACAUUGAGAACGUUGCCAUUUCCCGUCGUUUCUUGAUACACAUUAUACGUGCGAAAAUGUAUAAAAUAUAUGAAAAAAAGGCAACAAAAAAAGUAAUGAAAAACAGAAUAAAAAAUGUGUUCAAUUAAAUUCUGAAGGAUGGAGUUAAAGAUUUGACCCUCGGAGUUUGGCUUGUUAGAGCACGUUUGUCUGUACAGGGACAAGGGGGGAUACUGGAAGGUCUCACACGUUGUUCUACACAAUAUUGUUGGUGAAAACGUGUAAAUAAUUGUGGUAUCUUUUUCUCUUUAAAAAAAGAUGUAAUGUCUGCAAAUGUGUUUUGUAAGAGUUGAAUACGUGGCUUUUCGUAUGAAAACGUAUAGUCUAGUAGUCACGUGUUUUGUUUCUGAGAUAUUGAGGCGCAGCAAAACAAAUAUUAGGUUGAAACUCACACAGUGUUUUGUAGGGUUACACGUCCAAGAUCAAAUACAAGACGUGGUGUAAGAAUAUUACUGAGAGACACGUAGACAAUUAAAAAUGUUAUGCACAAAGCAGUCAGAAGCAGUAGAAAAAUGAGAGCUGUGAAAACAUCAAUAUUGCAGGUGAGGUGAGAAAGAUUCAGGGCGAGUAUGUAUAUGUGCAUGUCUCUUUCUUAAAAUACUGAAUAUCAGUGAUUUUAUUUAACAUAAAAAUAAACAAGCGGCAACCUAGAAAAAGGCCACGUCUGUAUGGACAAGUCUGUGUGUCUGGACAAGUCUGUGUGUCUGAACACACACUGGUCCAUGAUGUGAUCCGAAACAGCUGCAGUAUCAGUGUUUCUUUCAAUAUCAUAUAUAUAUAUAUAUAUAU
This is a long non-coding RNA of Tachysurus fulvidraco (yellow catfish), 4256 nucleotides long. RefSeq lists it as uncharacterized. Lineage: Eukaryota; Metazoa; Chordata; Actinopteri; Siluriformes; Bagridae. The record is from RefSeq and is a predicted model, not a curated record. The transcript is spliced from 12 exons.